AGACCCGAAACCCGGUGAUCUAGCCAUGGGCAGGUUGAAGGUUGGGUAACACUAACUGGAGGACCGAACCGACUAAUGUUGAAAAAUUAGCGGAUGACCUGUGGCUGGGGGUGAAAGGCCAAUCAAACCGGGAGAUAGCUGGUUCUCCCCGAAAGCUAUUUAGGUAGCGCCUCGUGAAUUCAUCUCCGGGGGUAGAGCACUGUUUCGGCUAGGGGGCCAUCCCGGCUUACCAACCCGAUGCAAACUGCGAAUACCGGAGAAUGUUAUCACGGGAGACACACGGCGGGUGCUAACGUCCGUCGUGAAGAGGGAAACAACCCAGACCGCCAGCUAAGGUCCCAAAGUCAUGGUUAAGUGGGAAACGAUGUGGGAAGGCCCAGACAGCCAGGAUGUUGGCUUAGAAGCAGCCAUCAUUUAAAGAAAGCGUAAUAGCUCACUGGUCGAGUCGGCCUGCGCGGAAGAUGUAACGGGGCUAAACCAUGCACCGAAGCUGCGGCAGCGAACGUAUCACCCAAGACAACUUUACGGAGUUGACGAUUGACGGAGCGAAGCGACGUCAAAGCGUUCAUUAAAGUCGAGUUGGCUUAGGGAUACGUUCGUUGGGUAGGGGAGCGUUCUGUAAGCCUGUGAAGGUGUGUCGUGAGGCAUGCUGGAGGUAUCAGAAGUGCGAAUGCUGACAUAAGUAACGAUAAAGCGGGUGAAAAGCCCGCUCGCCGGAAGACCAAGGGUUCCUGUCCAACGUUAAUCGGGGCAGGGUGAGUCGACCCCUAAGGCGAGGCCGAAAGGCGUAGUCGAUGGGAAACGGGUUAAUAUUCCCGUACUUGGUGUUACUGCGAAGGGGGGACGGAGAAGGCUAUGUUGGCCGGGCGACGGUUGUCCCGGUUUAAGGGUGUAGGUGUGUGUUCCAGGUAAAUCCGGUUCACUUUAACACUGAGGCGUGACGACGAGGCACUACGGUGCUGAAGCAACAAAUGCCCUGCUUCCAGGAAAAGCCUCUAAGCAUCAGGUAACACGAAAUCGUACCCCAAACCGACACAGGUGGUCAGGUAGAGAAUACCAAGGCGCUUGAGAGAACUCGGGUGAAGGAACUAGGCAAAAUGGUGCCGUAACUUCGGGAGAAGGCACGCUGACACGUAGGUGAAGUGAUUUACUCAUGGAGCUGAAGUCAGUCGAAGAUACCAGCUGGCUGCAACUGUUUAUUAAAAACACAGCACUGUGCAAACACGAAAGUGGACGUAUACGGUGUGACGCCUGCCCGGUGCCGGAAGGUUAAUUGAU
This 1278-nucleotide ribosomal RNA is filed under the name Salmonella enterica subsp. enterica serovar Typhimurium. Its description in RNAcentral is "partial 23S ribosomal RNA". It matches the Rfam family "Bacterial large subunit ribosomal RNA", at positions 711 to 1885 of the family's 2925-position model. Lineage: Bacteria; Pseudomonadati; Pseudomonadota; Gammaproteobacteria; Enterobacterales; Enterobacteriaceae. The record is from RNAcentral.